GGCAAAAUAAAAUUCGGCGGCCGAAAGCUGGACUUUUAACAGGUGAAGACCCCUUUUUACUGUUGAGAUGUCCUUUUGGACAGAAUAGACCCUAACAGCCAAAAGCUAGACUUUCGAUAGCUAAAAGUCCCCUCGAUAGUAAGGGUAUAAAUAGCCCAUUUUGAUUCAAUUUUCAAAGAAAGUCAGUUUUUCGCUCUCCUUAUAACUGUUACAUGCAAAGAGGACUAAAAUUAAAGUUUUCUUGGCUAACUUUAUGUUUUGUGUGCUUGGAUGCUUG
This 277-nucleotide unclassified non-coding RNA is filed under the name Hevea brasiliensis (rubber tree). The record is from RNAcentral. Lineage: Eukaryota; Viridiplantae; Streptophyta; Magnoliopsida; Malpighiales; Euphorbiaceae.